AAUAGCUCUGGUCUCCAGUAUAUUGGCGAAUUCGGUUCUUUGUACUUAAUUUAUUAGCAUGAUUUCUUUUAAAUAUGUUGUGUACAGACUUAAUUACUUCUCUGUCUACUUUUCUUACUCCAUGUAGGUUUCCCAGAGACUAUGGGUUGAGGAGGAAUUGGAAGUUUGUCGGCUUAGACCUGGUGUCAUUCCAUCAGUGUUAAACUUCCCAGCUCAUCUUGGAAGAGUACGUGCCAGAAAGACCACGACCAAGCAGCCUUGAGAUCUUAGGCAGCAUCUCCCUCAGGUCCCUCUCUAUCUCCCUACACAUCCACCAACCACUGGAACACAUCUCCAAAGUUCUGCUGGACCAGCUCAGCUUCCCCUCAGAAGAAGUUCCACCACCUGCCAGAUGAAGGAGCCUUUUGAGAGGCAGCUGGCAUCGUGAUUGGACUGUACUUUGGUCUGUUCCAAUCCAGCUUCAGCUCCAGAGACGGCAGGCGGGACGAGUCAACGGAGGCCGGGUGGACGAAGGCAUGAAGCUGAGUACAAUCCAGAAAACAACAGAGGAGGAAUGCAGCGGCGCAGGACCAGAACAAACAGAGUAGCAUCGUAAGUCUCUUAGAAAACAUCAUAGUAUAGCCUUUGGUAUGAAAAAACGCCAUUAUAUACAUCGUAUAUUGUACAAAUAACAAGUCAAAGCAAAGAGACAUACAUUGUAGAAUUGUAGUAAUUGUGGGCUGACUGGCCUUGGCAAUGGUCGUCGGAAUGUGAAUAACACUGACCACACCUCACAGAGGUUAUAAGCUGAGGCAACAUCAACCACCACCAGAACUGAAGAAGCCUCUUGGAUGAGAGGUGAAACGUCUUCAAGGAACCUUCUUAAAGUCCAGUUGGAUUGAUUUAAACAACUUUGGAUGACUGAUUUACUGAUUAUCAGUAUUUUAUUUUUUACUGAUUUACGGUAAUAAAUAAAUUCAAAAAUGGCGCUA
Long non-coding RNA from Amphiprion ocellaris (clown anemonefish), 971 nucleotides. RefSeq lists it as uncharacterized. The record is from RefSeq and is a predicted model, not a curated record. NCBI's taxonomy places the organism in Eukaryota, Metazoa, Chordata, Actinopteri, Pomacentridae. The transcript is spliced from 2 exons.